Molecule: unclassified non-coding RNA, 221 nt
Filed under: uncultured fungus
Lineage: Eukaryota; Fungi
Description: sequence contains ITS2
Source: RNAcentral
AACGCACAUUGCGCCUCCCGUGAGGGGGGCAUGCCCGUCCGAGCGUCGUAUGAACCCAUGGGGCCGCUCCUUUGGAGCGUACCCGUCUUGGGCCUCGCCCCCCGGCGUCGCCCCGAAGCCAUUUGGUCUCAAAGUGGACGAGUCCCGGUAGGGCGGACCACGGAGGGACGUGCAGCUUGAACUUCGACCUCGGAUCGGGUAGGGACACCGCCUGAACUUAA